AUUGAACGCUGGCGGCAGGCUUAACACAUGCAAGUCGAACGGUAACAGGGAGAAACUUGUUUCUCUGCUGACGAGUGGCGGACGGGUGAGUAAUGCUUGGGAAUCUGCCUUAUGGAGGGGGAUAACCACUGGAAACGGUGGCUAAUACCGCGUAAUAUCUUCGGAUUAAAGUGUGGGACUUUCGAGCCACACGCCAUAAGAUGAGCCCAAGUGAGAUUAGGUUGUUGGUGAGGUAAUGGCUCACCAAGCUUACGAUCUCUAGCUGGUUUGAGAGGAUGACCAGCCACACUGGGACUGAGACACGGCCCAGACUCCUACGGGAGGCAGCAGUGGGGAAUAUUGCACAAUGGGCGCAAGCCUGAUGCAGCCAUGCCGCGUGAAUGAAGAAGGCCUUAGGGUUGUAAAGUUCUUUCAUUAGUGAGAAAGCGGUUAUAUCUAAUAGGUGUAACCAUUGAUGUUAGCUAAAGAAGAAGCACCGGCUAACUCCGUGCCAGCAGCCGCGGUAAUACGGAGGGUGCGAGCGUUAAUCGGAAUGACUGGGCGUAAAGGGCACGCAGGCGGUUAUUUAAGUCAGAUGUGAAAGCCCCGAGCUUAACUUGGGAAUUGCAUUUGAUACUGGGUAACUAGAGUCCUCUAGGGAGGGGUAGAAUUCCAUGUGUAGCGGUGAAAUGCGUAGAGAUGUGGAGGAAUACCGAAGCGAACGCAGCCCCUUGGAGAGAGACUGACGCUCAUGUGCGAAAGCGUGGGUAGCAAACAGG
This 758-nucleotide ribosomal RNA is filed under the name uncultured bacterium. Its description in RNAcentral is "bacterial SSU rRNA". It matches the Rfam family "Bacterial small subunit ribosomal RNA", at positions 28 to 776 of the family's 1533-position model. The record is from RNAcentral.